CAGCCUUACCACCUGAUCAUCGUCCAGGACGGAGAUCCGUCGAAGAAGAUUCAUGUCCCUGAAGGUUACGAUUACGAGCUCUACAACAGGAACGACAUCAAUCGAAUCCUCGGACCCAAAGCUUCUUGCAUUUCGUUCAAGGACUCCGCUUGUCGUUGCUUUGGGUACAUGGUGUCGAAGAAGAAGUAUAUCUUCACCAUUGAUGACGAUUGCUUCGUAAGUUUGUCGAAUUUUGGUUCUAGAUCUGUUUGUUUUUGGCUUAUUGUUUUCCCCUGUGUGGAUUUGUUUAAGCUCAUUGCUUGAAUUUCGUAGAUUUGAUGUGAGGUUAAUAUACUGGUUGACUAAAUUCGAUGGAUCUUAGGUUUGUUGAUAAUCCUUGUUCGAUUAGCUAGGUCGAUUAGGCAAGUCAAUGUUUUGUACCAGCUCGAUCCAUAUACCCGCUUGAUGAGUCUCGAUCUGGUUUCACUAGCCAUGGUUUCUGAUGUGUUCACUUCUCUACUUUAUAAGCUGGUGUCAUUGUUGUCGGGCUGAUCUCUCUGUGAAAAAACAGAUACCUUUACGGUUUUUGUUUGAACGUCAUUGUUCUUCACUUUUUUUUCUUUUGUUUACCUUUUGUGAUUUGAGGCGUAUAUUCAAGGAUGAGUCUCAAUUACGCUCUCUUUAGUUUUAGUUUACCAAGGAUCUGUAUUUUAGCCACUUGUCUCAUUCAUACUUGUUCUUUGAUGUGUGUUGUGUAUAGGUUGCCAAGGAUCCAUCUGGGAAAGCAGUAAACGCUCUUGAGCAACACAUCAAGAACCUUCUGUGUCCAUCGUCUCCAUUUUUCUUCAACACCUUGUAUGAUCCUUACCGUGAAGGCGCUGAUUUCGUCCGUGGAUACCCUUUUAGCCUUCGUGAAGGUGUUUCCACUG
RNAcentral lists this long non-coding RNA (908 nucleotides) under Eutrema salsugineum. RNAcentral describes it as "long non-coding RNA (ESAL_LNC001112)". The record is from RNAcentral. Lineage: Eukaryota; Viridiplantae; Streptophyta; Magnoliopsida; Brassicales; Brassicaceae.